Molecule: ribosomal RNA, 346 nt
Filed under: uncultured bacterium
Lineage: Bacteria
Description: partial 16S ribosomal RNA
Rfam family: Bacterial small subunit ribosomal RNA
Source: RNAcentral
CCUACGGGGGGCAGCAGUGGGGAAUAUUGCGCAAUGGGCGAAAGCCUGACGCAGCGACGCCGCGUGAGGGAUGAAGGUCUUCGGAUCGUAAACCUCUGUCAGCAGGGAAGAACGGUCACGGUGCUAAGCAGCAGUGAAUGGACGGUACCGGCAAAGGAAGCACCGACUAACUCCGGGCCAGCAGCCGCGGUAAUACGGAGGGGGCGAGCGUUAAUCGGAAUUACUGGGCGGAAAGCGCUCGUAGGCGGUAGGUCAAGGCAAGGGUGACAUCCCCGCGCUCACCGUGGGAACUGCCUUUGAAACUUGCAAACUUGUGUGUGUGCUCGGUUAUUGGACUUCCAGGUGU